This 253-nucleotide ribosomal RNA is filed under the name uncultured bacterium. Its description in RNAcentral is "partial 16S ribosomal RNA". It matches the Rfam family "Bacterial small subunit ribosomal RNA", at positions 524 to 776 of the family's 1533-position model. The record is from RNAcentral.
UACGAAGGGGGCUAGCGUUGUUCGGAAUUACUGGGCGUAAAGCGUGCGCAGGCGGCGGCUCAAGUCAGGUGUGAAAUCCCCGGGCUUAACCUGGGAAUUGCGCUUGAAACUAGGCUGCUUGAGUGUGGCAGAGGGGGGUGGAAUUCCACGUGUAGCAGUGAAAUGCGUAGAGAUGUGGAGGAACACCGAUGGCGAAGGCAGCCCCCUGGGUCAACACUGACGCUCAUGCACGAAAGCGUGGGGAGCAAACAGG